Molecule: ribosomal RNA, 254 nt
Filed under: uncultured bacterium
Lineage: Bacteria
Description: partial 16S ribosomal RNA
Rfam family: Bacterial small subunit ribosomal RNA
Source: RNAcentral
UACGUAGGGUGCGAGCGUUGUCCGGAAUUAUUGGGCGUAAAGAGCUCGUAGGCGGUGUGUCGCGUCGGCCGUGAAAACCUGCAGCUUAACUGUGGGCUUGCGGUCGAUACGGGCAUCACUGGAGUUCGGCAGGGGAGACUGGAAUUCCUGGUGUAGCGGUGAAAUGCGCAGAUAUCAGGAGGAACACCAAUGGCGAAGGCAGCUCGCUGGGACGGUACUGACGCUGAGGCGCGAAAGCGUGGGGAUCAAACAGG